RNAcentral lists this ribosomal RNA (371 nucleotides) under uncultured organism. RNAcentral describes it as "partial 16S ribosomal RNA". It matches the Rfam family "Bacterial small subunit ribosomal RNA", at positions 527 to 896 of the family's 1533-position model. The record is from RNAcentral.
GUAGGUGGCAAGCGUUGUCCGGAAUUAUUGGGCGUAAAGCGCGCGCAGGCGGCUUCUUAAGUCUGAUGUGAAAUCUUGCGGCUCAACCGCAAGCGGUCAUUGGAAACUGGGAGGCUUGAGUGCAGAAGAGGAGAGUGGAAUUCCACGUGUAGCGGUGAAAUGCGUAGAGAUGUGGAGGAACACCAGUGGCGAAGGCGGCUCUCUGGUCUGUAACUGACGCUGAGGCGCGAAAGCGUGGGGAGCAAACAGGAUUAGAUACCCUGGUAGUCCCACGCCGUAGACGAUGAGUGCUAAGUGUUAGAGGGUUUCCACCCUUUAGUGCUGCAGCUAACGCAUUAAGCACUCCGCCUGGGAGUACGGCCGCAAGGCUG